RNAcentral lists this long non-coding RNA (244 nucleotides) under Malus domestica (apple). RNAcentral's name for it is "long non-coding RNA (MDOM_LNC020337)". The record is from RNAcentral. Lineage: Eukaryota; Viridiplantae; Streptophyta; Magnoliopsida; Rosales; Rosaceae.
GAAUCCGCUAUAUUCGUACCGUGAGACGCAUCACGAAAUUUGGCAUGACCUCUAAGGCUCUAACCAUAAAACCACUAGAAUUACAGAUAAUCACCCUGAAUGGCAUGUUUUGAUUGUUUUCCAUUGAAUCAUAUUUAUCACUUGAUGAACAUAUUCUGGCAUUCUAUUAGUAGAGAUAAUUCUAUGCACAAACAUUCACAUAUUACAUAUGGCAGACUCAAUGACGCAACAUUUCUCUUCGUUA